ACCAGACUCCUACGGGAGGCAGCAGUAGGGAAUCUUUCACAAUGGGCGAAAGCCUGAUGGAGCAACGCCGCGUGCAGGAUGAAGGCCUUCGGGUUGUAAACUGCUUUUAUAAGAGAGAAAUAUGAUGGUAACUUAUGAAUAAGGAUCGGCUAACUACGUGCCAGCAGCCGCGGUAAUACGUAGGGGGCAAGCGUUAUCCGGAUUUACUGGGUGUAAAGGGAGCGUAGACGGCAGCGCAAGUCUGGAGUGAAAUGCCGGGGCCCAACCCCGGAACUGCUCUGGAAACUGUGAAGCUGGAGUGCAGGAGAGGUAAGCGGAAUUCCUGGUGUAGCGGUGAAAUGCGUAGAUAUCAGGAGGAACACCGGCGGCGAAGGCGGCUUACUGGACUGUAACUGACGUUGAGGCUCGAAGGCGUGGGGAGCAAACAGGAUUAGAUACCCCUGUA
Molecule: ribosomal RNA, 445 nt
Filed under: uncultured bacterium
Lineage: Bacteria
Description: bacterial SSU rRNA
Rfam family: Bacterial small subunit ribosomal RNA
Source: RNAcentral